This 473-nucleotide ribosomal RNA is filed under the name uncultured bacterium. Its description in RNAcentral is "bacterial SSU rRNA". It matches the Rfam family "Bacterial small subunit ribosomal RNA", at positions 28 to 507 of the family's 1533-position model. The record is from RNAcentral.
GAUGAACGCUAGCUACAGGCUUAACACAUGCAAGUCGAGGGGAAACGAUAGGGAAAGCUUGCUUUUUCUAGGCGUCGACCGGCGCACGGGUGAGUAACGCGUAUCCAACCUGCCCACCACUUGGGGAUAACCUUGCGAAAGUAAGACUAAUACCCAAUGACGUCUCUAGAAGACAUCUGAAAGGGAUUAAAGAUUUAUCGGUAAGAGAUGGCUCCGCGUCUGAUUAGCCAGUUGGCGGGUAACGGCCCACCAAAGCGACGAUCAGUAGCCGGCCUGAGAGGGUGAACGGCCACAUUGGGACUGAGAUACGGCCCAGACUCCUACGGGAGGCAGCAGUGGGGAAUAUUGCACAAUGGGGGGAACCCUGAUGCAGCGACGCCGCGUGGAGGAAGAAGGUCUUCGGAUUGUAAACUCCUGUUGUUAGGGACGAUAAUGACGGUACCUAACAAGGAAGCAACCGGGCUAACUACGUG